UGGGGAAUAUUGCAAAAUGGGCGCAAGCCUGAUGCAGCCAUGCCGCGUGUAUGAAGAAGGCCUUCGGGUUGUAAAGUACUUUCAGCGGGGAGGAAGGUGUUGUGGUUAAUAACCACAGCAAUUGACGUUACCCGCAGAAGAAGCACCGGCUAACUCCGUGCCAGCAGCCGCGGUAAUACGGAGGGUGCAAGCGUUAAUCGGAAUUACUGGGCGUAAAGCGCACGCAGGCGGUCUGUCAAGUCGGAUGUGAAAUCCCCGGGCUCAACCUGGGAACUGCAUCCGAAACUGGCAGGCUUGAGUCUUGUAGAGGGGGGUAGAAUUCCAGGUGUAGCGGUGAAAUGCGUAGAGAUCUGGAGGAAUACCGGUGGCGAAGGCGGCCCCCUGGACAAAGACUGACGCUCAGGUGCGAAAGCGUGGGGAGCAAACA
This 427-nucleotide ribosomal RNA is filed under the name uncultured bacterium. RNAcentral describes it as "partial 16S ribosomal RNA". It matches the Rfam family "Bacterial small subunit ribosomal RNA", at positions 355 to 774 of the family's 1533-position model. The record is from RNAcentral.